Micropterus dolomieu (smallmouth bass) is the source of this 739-nucleotide long non-coding RNA. RefSeq lists it as uncharacterized. The record is from RefSeq and is a predicted model, not a curated record. Lineage: Eukaryota; Metazoa; Chordata; Actinopteri; Centrarchiformes; Centrarchidae. The transcript is spliced from 2 exons.
CACUAUACGGCGCCCCUGCUCCUAACAGAGUAUUUUUACAGUGAAGUCUGGAUGAGAAACUGUCGGACGUGUUUCUGUGUUUCCUGUCCGACACUCCCACCUGCCGACUGACCGCGCUCCGACAGGACGCUGUCCCACAAUGCAUCACUGUGCAGGAGCAGCUCACAGCAGGAAAAACUCCACAGAGCUUUACAGUUUCUGAUCCCAAAGUUUUAAAGAUAAAAGACAUUAUAUUUAAAAAGGACACAGUUCUGUUUCUCGUAAACGAGGUUUUUAUGAUUGAACAUGCAGCUGCGGAACAUUCGUUAAGACACCAACAGCCGGUUAAGGUCACAGUUUUAAAACUCUGCACCGACUCUGAAGAACACCAAGACGCCCGGUUUCUGCUCGUCUGCAUGAACGCGCCUUAGACACGAUGCUGCGAGGCGGCCUGAGGACUGCAGAUGUGGCCGGGGCCCGAGACAGGAAGGACAGCUGAUCGUCUCGCAGAUCACGUCCAGGAUCGGGCCUGUAGGCCUGUUGGAAGGCAGGUCCGCAACGGACCGGAUCAGCAGCCUCUGGGCACAAACCCACCUUCGCUGGACCAGACGGGACCCGCAGCAGACCAGAGUACUUUGAUUUUGACCCCCCUUUUCUCAGGGCCACAUUGUUGGACACAUGUCUGAAACUUCUGUCUUAGCUGUUCAAACAAAUAUGUAGACGCGUUGAGUUUGCUGAAAAUAAAAGCAGUUGAACGUGA